Molecule: ribosomal RNA, 492 nt
Filed under: uncultured bacterium
Lineage: Bacteria
Description: partial 16S ribosomal RNA
Rfam family: Bacterial small subunit ribosomal RNA
Source: RNAcentral
AGUGAACGCUGGCGGUAGGCCUAACACAUGCAAGUCGAACGGCAGCACAGUAAGAGCUUGCUCUUACGGGUGGCGAGUGGCGGACGGGUGAGGAAUACAUCGGAACCUACUUUUUCGUGGGGGAUAACGUAGGGAAACUUACGCUAAUACCGCAUACGACCUACGAGUGAAAGCAGGGGAUCUUCGGACCUUGCGCGAUUGAAUGAGCCGAUGUCGGAUUAGCUAGUUGGCGGGGUAAAGGCCCACCAAGGCGACGAUCCGUAGCUGGUCUGAGAGGAUGAUCAGCCACACUGGAACUGAGACACGGUCCAGACUCCUACGGGAGGCAGCAGUGGGGAAUAUUGGACAAUGGGCGCAAGCCUGAUCCAGCCAUACCGCGUGGGUGAAGAAGGCCUUCGGGUUGUAAAGCCCUUUUGUUGGGAAAGAAAAGCAGCAGGUUAAUACCCCGCUGUUCUGACGGUACCCAAAGAAUAAGCACCGGCUAACUUCGUG